Long non-coding RNA from Cannabis sativa, 679 nucleotides. RefSeq lists it as uncharacterized. The transcript has 2 exons. Lineage: Eukaryota; Viridiplantae; Streptophyta; Magnoliopsida; Rosales; Cannabaceae. The record is from RefSeq and is a predicted model, not a curated record.
AUUACCUGUACUAUGAAUUUUUAUUAAAUGUUUAGAUAUAUAUGGAUAAAUUUUAAUUUUAAGUAAGUUAUGGUAUUUUUCUAUUUUAAAUUAUUAUGUGGGUUUUUUUUUUCCAUUUUUUUAACUUUUUUUUAUAUUUUUCCAGAAAACUAUUUUCUCUCUUACCUCUUUGUCUUCUUCUCCACCAUUGUUCCUCUUCACCUCUCUGUCUUCUCCUCCAUCUUCACCUCUUUCAUUCUCAGGCGAAGCUUCUUCUAAAACUCAUCUCCAUCGUCUUCGUCUUCUCCCAUCUUCACUCAUUUCCUUCUUGGAUUGGUGACAACCAGGUGUGAGUUUCUUCUCAAGCAGAGUUAGGGUUCUAUUCCCUUUUCCGGCGAAGCUAGCUUGUGGUUCAAUUCCGGCGAAGCUAGCUUGUGGUUCAAUUCCGACGAAUCAAGUUGUUCAGGCAGAGGUGGGAAAUCAAAAAUGGGAGAAGAAUAUAAUAGCUUCAUAUUCAGGAAGGUUGAAUAAAUUUUUUGGCAAGUUCAAAGGUACAACAAGUAGUACCUUGGUAUGAGAUCUCAGCAUUGUCCCAAUUAGUGUUAUUAUUUCAUUUUUGAUCAAAUUUCCAAGAUCAAAUAAUGAACAAUUUUUUGGAAUAUGUACACCAGACACUUUGUAAUUUAGUAGCAGUUACUUU